Molecule: ribosomal RNA, 460 nt
Filed under: uncultured bacterium
Lineage: Bacteria
Description: bacterial SSU rRNA
Rfam family: Bacterial small subunit ribosomal RNA
Source: RNAcentral
CCUACGGGAGGCUGCAGUGAGGAAUAUUGGUCAAUGGGCGCAAGCCUGAACCAGCCAUGCCGCGUGCAGGGUGACGGCCCUAUGGGUUGUAAACUGCUUUUGUACGGGAAGAAACACCGGUUCGUGAACCGGCUUGACGGUACCGUAAGAAUAAGGAUCGGCUAACUCCGUGCCAGCAGCCGCGGUAAUACGGAGGAUCCAAGCGUUAUCCGGAAUCAUUGGGUUUAAAGGGUCCGUAGGCGGAUCUGUAAGUCAGUGGUGAAAUCUCCCGGCUCAACCGGGAAACUGCCAUUGAUACUGCAGGUCUUGAAUGUCUGUGAAGUAACUAGAAUAUGUAGUGUAGCGGUGAAAUGCUUAGAUAUUACAUGGAAUACCGAUUGCGAAGGCAGGUUACUAACAGAUGAUUGACGCUGAUGGACGAAAGCGUGGGGAGCGAACAGGAUUAGAUACCCUUGUAGUC